CUUGGUCGCCGCAGGCGCUACUGCAGCAUUGGGAGCUCUUCGAGGAGAUCUUCGAGGAACAGCCGACCUUCUGAUCAAGCUUGCUUGUGCUGCUUGCAACAGCAUAGGCAGAUGCCAGGCGAUGGCAGACAAGGUGAAGAUGGUUAAAACCGCCCUCGAGAGCAGCUCAUACAGGUACGACGAUGUCAACCUUCAGGUUAAUCUAGAAAAGCUGCUAGUUGUGAUGAAAGACUGCGUGUGUCUUGUCGAGAAACACAGCAAGACGAGUACGGUGAGCUUCUUCUUCUCGUGCCACGCUCUCACUGUUGACGAAUUUGACGACCUCAACGCGCGCCUCAAUCGCUGCAUCAGCUGCUUGAAUCUGAUCACAUCUCCUCGUAUGAUCGCAGUCAUGAGCACAAAGACGAGAUCAUAGCCCAAGUACAGGCCAACACAGCACGAACUAUUGAGGAGAUAAAGCAGCUGGUCAAGGGCCAGGAGCCCGUAGAAUAUUUGACAGCCGUGCAGGGCGUUGUGACCGUGGGUGAAGCCUUGGCCGGGGACUACAUGAUAUCUGCGACGCUCACCGACAACAGCUCCUCAGUGUCACGGAAAGUCAUCCUAGUGCAGUCACACGAGACAAAGAAGGAAGUUGCGAUCCUGGAGAAACUAAGCCUUCACGAGUGCAUACUUGAGUUGCUUGGCAUCUUUCCAUAUGGUGAGUCCAAGCCUUAGACACCGACCUGCCUUUGAUGAAAAGUGUGACAUCUACUCACUGGGAGUGGUGAUUUGGGAGCACAUCACUGGGAACUUUCCUUUCGCCAAAUACACUAACUACCGAAAACUUACCAGAGAUCGGAGCGAAAAUGUUGCCCUCUUAAAAAAGCGAACUUAAGUGACAAACUCAAAAGUUAAAGAGUGAGUUUGGAUAAUCACGAAGCGUUCCUCACUUCCACUUGCAGUGGAAGUAAAAGAGUAGCAGCAAUAAGAAUACAAACAUCUUGGUUUUAUUUUUCUUUCUCUUGGCUUGGAUUCGAUUCGCUUGAAACGAUGGAACUUUAGCUGGCGAGAGCUUCCUUGAGCUCCUUAUUCUCUUUCAUCUCCAUGAUAAUGUCACAGCCCCCGAUAAGCUCGCCUUUGAGGUAGAGCUGAGGAUAAGUUGGCCAGUUUGAGAAUGCCUUGAGCCCCUCGUCACUGAGAAUAUCAAAGCUGCCAAAUUCGAUGCCUUCCUCCUUGAGUGCGCUUGCCACCUUCUUGCUAAACCCGCACUUUGGCUCCUCGGGCGUCCCUUUCAUGAAAAGCAUUGUCGGGGACGAGUGAAUCAGCUUUUUCAGCCGGCUGUUGAUGUCUUCCUUUUCCUCUGUCGCCCCCACAGCUUCCUUGAGCUCGCCACUCUUGUGCAUUUCCAUGACGAUGUCGCAUCCACCUAUCAGCUCGCCCUUGACGUAUAGCUGCGGAAACGUUGGCCAGUUGGAGAAGGACUUGAUGCCUUGCCGGACCUCUUCGUCGCUCAGAAUGUCGAAGGAGCCAAAAGGAACUCCCACCUCCUCGAGUGCUCCCGCAACUUUCUUGCUGAAACCGCACUUUGGCUCCGACGGACUCCCUUUCAUGAACAGCAUCACGUCGUGCGAGUGGAUAAGCUUUUUUAGACGCUCCUCGAGAGUUUCCUCCGGUCCCUUGUCGGAUCCAUUGGCGUGAGCUUUGCUGCCAUUCUCUUGCGACUUUAGCUUGGCGUCCGCAAGAGCUUCUCCCAGCUCCCCACUCUUGUGCAUCUCCAUUAUCACAUCACACCCUCACAAACAGCACACAAUAGUAAGAAAAAAACGACCAAAUGCAGCGAUUGAGUGACUUUUCCUUUUCUACCUUUAUAAAAACGAAGUAAGGCACCAAAGAAACGCUGUACUUUUCGGAUAUUUCUGGAUGCUCCUCGGCUUCAACCUGUGAGUACAAUAAUUGGUGGAUGUUUAUUAGUCAAGUCUAGGCAAAUCAGAGAAGAGAAAAUCGAGCACACGCCCUGUCAAGCGAGACAUGGCAUACGGCACUGCAAGAUCCAGAAGAGAAGGGGAAAAAAAAAUAGCACCACCAACAACCAGACUCACUUAAGAAUGAGACUUGCCAUUCACAACUCCACAACAAAAAUGUGACCGAUUUAGAAACGUGGAAGAUGAAAGAGAAACAAAAAAAACAAGACAAGCAGCAGCGAAUCGAGAAAAAAAUAAAUAAAUAAAAAUAAAAUGCGAUCCGAGAAAUCGGUGAAGUAUUAACCGGUGAAGUAUUGUAUACAAACCCGGAGAAAUCUGGCCCGCGGUGCAGUGUCGGCACAGAGCUGCUCGAAGACGACAUCCAUUUGCUUGGAGGCCUCGCACCAGGGCGUACGGAAAUGGAGCACGACCGAUUUACCAGCCUUGACAACCUCGUCGAGAUGCGCCAAUCCACGAGCUUCUUCCACCAUGAGCGCCAUGGCUCUCCCUCUUCGAUCGCUCGAGACCCUAGAACAGAGGAGACCUAGGGCAAGCUUUUAAAGAGGACGAGCAAGCGCAUAUUCCCUCCCAACAGAUAGCGCAUAUUCCACCACCGCCCCACCCAACGUUGUAGUGGUCAAACAGAGACCGCUUCUAUACAUAGACAUCAGCAAAGAAACUAAAGAAAUUAAGAGAGAUUUAUUUCUGAAGCACUAGAAUACAUUACAAAAUACCUUAUGCACUUCUUUCUUCAGCUCGCCCACUUGCCACGUCAGCACUCAGUUAGGGCUCAAUCAAACUAGACACCGUUAUCACCAGUGUCACUUUAGCCCAUUAUAACGUGCAAAACCCCGUUUUCGUGCAUCGGGCGCCACGUGUUGAGCUGUGGCCGGCCAGAUUACUAUACUAGGAGAGUGAUGUGGAUAAAAUAUGUGUGAAGAUUGAUUCACCGGGAUAUGGCGACUGAGGGCUUGGUCGCCGCAGGGGCUAGUGCAGCAUUGGGAGCUCUUCGAGGAGAUCUUCGAGGAACAGCCGACCUUCUGAUCAAGCUUGCUUGUGCUGCUCGCAACAGCAUAGGCAGAUGCCAGGCGAUGGCAGACAAGGUGAACAUGGUUACCACCGCCCUCGAGAGCAGAUCAUACAGGUACGACGAUGUCAACCUUCAGGCUAAUCUAGAAAAGCUGCUAGUUGUGAUGAAAGACUGCGUGUGUCUUGUCGAGAAACACAGCAAGACGAGUGCGGUGAGCUUCUUCUUCUCGUGCCACGCUCUCACUGUUGACGAAUUUGACGAC
This 3232-nucleotide long non-coding RNA is filed under the name Selaginella moellendorffii. RNAcentral describes it as "long non-coding RNA (SMOE_LNC001781)". Lineage: Eukaryota; Viridiplantae; Streptophyta; Lycopodiopsida; Selaginellales; Selaginellaceae. The record is from RNAcentral.